RNAcentral lists this long non-coding RNA (1642 nucleotides) under Anser cygnoides (Swan goose). Its description in RNAcentral is "lncRNA (ENSACDG00005011000.1)". Lineage: Eukaryota; Metazoa; Chordata; Aves; Anseriformes; Anatidae. The record is from RNAcentral.
UCCCCUCAAUGGUCCAUGCUUAAAAUCCAUGUCUCUUCAAUUUGGAGAUCAGGAUGUUAUGUGGGACCAUGUCAAAGGCCUUACAGAAGCACAGGUGGAUGGCAUCGGUCAGUCUUCCUUUGUUGACUGAUAUAGACAACAUCAAAUGCUUGGAGUGGGAUUGCCUGUAUCCUGGACUUCAUCUGGAUUCGAGGCUGUGUUUAAGUAUGACAGGGUAGAGAGCUGCUGAUUUCUCAGCGGCUUCUUUCCUGUCACUUUUUUUUUCUCCCUCUUCUUUUUGGCCAUGUAAUUGCAGAACAGAAAAUACAGUUGCUUUUCUCCUUGAAACAAAACCCAUAGGUUCCUUAGUUUUGCUUCUUUCCUUACCAUGCGGCCAGAGAGGUGGGAGCACACAAAUGAGAAACCUCAUCUGUAGAAAACACAGAAGGAGUGUUUUCUAGGAGCUCCAUUCAAGAUCCAUGUGUUAGCAGAAGAUGGGACAUAUGGCACAUGGGAAACGGGCAAAGGUAUAAUGACAUGGCCAAAUAGGAGGAAAGCUGCAUAACAUAACAUCACUCAGAAAUAAGUGAAGUGUCUUAAGCUAUAGACAAAGCUAGCUGGAGGAAAAAAUUGAGACAAUGAGGUGGUCUGAACCAGCAGAGAACUACACCAUGGAAAUAAUGAGCUUAUCAUUAGGGUCUCUAACAUUCUCUAGCUGUGGAAUAUUCCUUCCCCAGCAAAUUAUUUUCUGCCACAGAAGUUUUAAUUUCUCCGUUCCCUGGGAAUUCAAGUGUCCCUUUCUGUUUUCUAUCUUGUAGAGUUUCUAGCACUUGCUAAGCUUAAUUUCUCCCACCUGAGGGAACACAACCUUCAGGGACUUUCAGCUGCAGCAUCAUUUGGUGGGGGAGAGACUAAGAGGGGGGUUUUGUGUAGGAGGGGUACAGAGAACCCAGACAUCUGGGCUGAGGGCAAAGGCUUUUCAGUCCUCUUAGUAAUGAAGAGUGGUGUUGACUUGUCUAGUUGGUCUCAUACUGAGCACCCUCAGUCAGAACCACAGCUUUACCAAACAAGUCAAGUGGACUGGGGAUGCCAAGUGAAACAACCCCAGGGGAGAAACCCAGAGAUUCAGCGAAGGGAAUGGUAAGAGUAUCUCGAAUUUGUGUGUGUCCUCAGCAACCUGUUCAUUAGAUUGGAUACAGUACUGCAGCACUACCAGAUGUCAAAAGGAGAAGAAAUAAUGUGCGAUUGUGAAGUAGCUGGAAGUUAGAUGCAAAUUCUGAGUGCAACAGGUGGAUGAGGAAACUGUUGAAAUGUAUACAUAUAUCUGUAAUGUGUAUGUAGUCACUUUUGAGUUCUUCAGAAAAUCGUAACAACAACUACAAAAAAGCCCUUCAGAAGGGCCCAGACAGACUUCUACAGUUAACAAAAUGGAUGAGGGAUCUUGUACAGCCAACACAAUGUCAAUAUGAAUGAUGUAAAACGAUGCAAAAAAAUACUGUACUGUGCAUGGUAAAUCAUAUAAUAAGGGAAGCAGUAAAGAGUAAUAUGUCCUAAAGCAUGGCUUCAGUAAAUGAAAACUGAAAUAGGAAAUGCUCCAGAGAGUUAGUAAAAAAAGCAAUGGAAAGCAAAGAUAUGUAAUAAAAGAAAGCUAAAACUGAAUUAC